This 946-nucleotide ribosomal RNA is filed under the name Klebsiella pneumoniae. Its description in RNAcentral is "partial 23S ribosomal RNA". It matches the Rfam family "Bacterial large subunit ribosomal RNA", at positions 419 to 1367 of the family's 2925-position model. The record is from RNAcentral. Lineage: Bacteria; Pseudomonadati; Pseudomonadota; Gammaproteobacteria; Enterobacterales; Enterobacteriaceae.
GGGACACGUGGUAUCCUGUCUGAAUAUGGGGGGACCAUCCUCCAAGGCUAAAUACUCCUGACUGACCGAUAGUGAACCAGUACCGUGAGGGAAAGGCGAAAAGAACCCCGGCGAGGGGAGUGAAAAAGAACCUGAAACCGUGUACGUACAAGCAGUGGGAGCACCUUCGGGUGUGACUGCGUACCUUUUGUAUAAUGGGUCAGCGACUUAUAUUCUGUAGCAAGGUUAACCGUAUAGGGGAGCCGCAGGGAAACCGAGUCUUAACUGGGCGUUAAGUUGCAGGGUAUAGACCCGAAACCCGGUGAUCUAGCCAUGGGCAGGUUGAAGGUUGGGUAACACUAACUGGAGGACCGAACCGACUAAUGUUGAAAAAUUAGCGGAUGACUUGUGGCUGGGGGUGAAAGGCCAAUCAAACCGGGAGAUAGCUGGUUCUCCCCGAAAGCUAUUUAGGUAGCGCCUCGUGAACUCAUCUUCGGGGGUAGAGCACUGUUUCGGCUAGGGGGUCAUCCCGACUUACCAACCCGAUGCAAACUACGAAUACCGAAGAAUGUUAUCACGGGAGACACACGGCGGGUGCUAACGUCCGUCGUGAAGAGGGAAACAACCCAGACCGCCAGCUAAGGUCCCAAAGUCAUGGUUAAGUGGGAAACGAUGUGGGAAGGCACAGACAGCCAGGAUGUUGGCUUAGAAGCAGCCAUCAUUUAAAGAAAGCGUAAUAGCUCACUGGUCGAGUCGGCCUGCGCGGAAGAUGUAACGGGGCUAAACCAUGCACCGAAGCUGCGGCAGCGACACUAUGUGUUGUUGGGUAGGGGAGCGUUCUGUAAGCCUGCGAAGGUGUGCUGUGAGGCAUGCUGGAGGUAUCAGAAGUGCGAAUGCUGACAUAAGUAACGAUAAAGCGGGUGAAAAGCCCGCUCGCCGGAAGACCAAGGGUUCCUGUCCAACGUUA